Molecule: ribosomal RNA, 114 nt
Filed under: Deefgea sp.
Lineage: Bacteria; Pseudomonadati; Pseudomonadota; Betaproteobacteria; Neisseriales; Chitinibacteraceae
Also listed under: 4 other names
Source: RNAcentral
UCUGGCGACCAUAGCGAGGUGGUCCCACUCCUUCCCAUCCCGAACAGGACAGUGAAACACCUCAGCGCCGAUGAUAGUGCGGAUUGCCCGUGUGAAAGUAGGUCAUUGCCAGAC